UCGCACCUACCGAUUGAAUGAUCCGGUGAAGCCUCGGGAUUGUGGCCAGUGCCUUUACUGGUGUUGGUUGCGAGAACUUGUCUAAACCUUAUCAUUUAGAGGAAGGUG
RNAcentral lists this ribosomal RNA (108 nucleotides) under uncultured eukaryote. Its description in RNAcentral is "partial small subunit ribosomal RNA". It matches the Rfam family "Eukaryotic small subunit ribosomal RNA", at positions 1676 to 1785 of the family's 1831-position model. The record is from RNAcentral.